This 830-nucleotide ribosomal RNA is filed under the name uncultured archaeon. RNAcentral describes it as "bacterial SSU rRNA". It matches the Rfam family "Archaeal small subunit ribosomal RNA", at positions 4 to 842 of the family's 1478-position model. The record is from RNAcentral.
CUGGUUGAUCCUGCCAGACCCGACUGCUAUCAGAGUGGGACUAAGCCAUGCGAGUUAACGCAGCAAUGCGUGGCAUACGGCUCAGUAACACGUAGUCAACAUGCCCAGGGGACGUGGAUAACCUCGGGAAACUGAGGAUAAACCGCGAUAGGCCAUGGUUUCUGGAAUGGAUCAUGGCUGAAACCUAUAUGGCCCCUGGAUUGGACUGCGGCCGAUCAGGCUGUUGGUGAGGUAAUGGCCCACCAAACCUGUAACCGGUACGGGCUCUGAGAGGAGGAGCCCGGAGAUGGGCACUGAGACAAGGGCCCAGGCCCUAUGGGGCGCAGCAGGCGCGAAACCUCUGCAAUAGGCGAAAGCUUGACAGGGUUACUCUGAGUGACGUCCGUUAAGGACGUCUUUUGGCACCUCUAAAAAUGGUGCAGAAUAAGGGGUGGGCAAGUCUGGUGUCAGCCGCCGCGGUAAUACCAGCACCCCGAGUGGUCGGGACGAUUAUUGGGCCUAAAGCAUCCGUAGCCGGUUCUGCAAGCCUUCCGUUAAAUCCACCUGCUCAACAGAUGGGCUGCGGAGGAUACUACAGGGCUAGGAGGCGGGAGAGGCAAGCGGUACUCAGUGGGUAGGGGUAAAAUCCUCUGAUCCACUGAAGACCACCAGUGGCGAAGGCGGCUUGCCAGAACGCGCUCGACGGUGAGGGAUGAAAGCUGGGGGAGCAAACCGGAUUAGAUACCCGGGGAGUCCCAGCUGUAAACGAUGCAGACUCGGUGAUGGGUUGGCUUUGCGCCAACCCUGUGCCGCAGGGAAGCCGUUAAGUCUGCCGCCUGGGGAGUACGGUC